AGCCCCAAUAGUGUAUACUAAAGUUGUUGCAGUUAAAAAGCUCGUAGUUGGAUUUCUGUGCACCGGUUGUUGGUCUGCCUCUAUGAGGUGAGUCCUUCACCGUUGUACAUCCUGUUAGCAGACACAUGCUGGCAUUCAUUUGUCGGUGUGGGGAGACCACUCGUUUACUUUGAGAAAAUUAAAAUCAGGCAAUCGCUUGAAUACAUUAUCAUGGAAUAAUAGUAUAGGACUUUGCUCUUAUUUGUUGGUUUUGUAGAUCAAAGUAAUGAUUGACAGUUGGGGACAGUUGGGGGCAUCAGUAUUCUGAAGCGAGAGGUGAAAUUCUUGGACCUUCGGAAGACUAACAACUGCGAAAGCAUUUGCCAAGGAUGUUCUCU
RNAcentral lists this ribosomal RNA (377 nucleotides) under uncultured eukaryote. Its description in RNAcentral is "SSU rRNA". It matches the Rfam family "Eukaryotic small subunit ribosomal RNA", at positions 587 to 972 of the family's 1831-position model. The record is from RNAcentral.